RNAcentral lists this ribosomal RNA (1913 nucleotides) under Myrmecophilus manni (Mann's ant cricket). RNAcentral describes it as "SSU rRNA". It matches the Rfam family "Eukaryotic small subunit ribosomal RNA". The record is from RNAcentral. Lineage: Eukaryota; Metazoa; Arthropoda; Insecta; Orthoptera; Myrmecophilidae.
AGAUUAGCCAUGCAUGUCUCAGUGCAGCCGCACUAAGGUGAAACCGCGAAUGGCUCAUUAAAUCAGUUGUGGUUCAUUGGACCUUACAGUUUUACUUGGAUAACUGUGGUAAUUCUAGAGCUAAUACAUGCUUGGAGAGUCCCGACCAGAAGUGGAAGGGACGCAUUUAUUAGAUCAAAACCAAUCGGGCGGCACCGCCGUUCCCGCGAGUCCUGGCGACUCUGAGUAACUUUGGGCUGAUCGCACGGUCUCCGAACCGGCGACGUGUCCUUCAAAUGUCUGCCUUAUCAACUGUCGAUGGUAUGUUCUGCGCCUACCAUGGUUGUAACGGGUGACGGGGAAUCAGGGUUCGAUUCCGGAGAGGGAGCCUGAGAAACGGCUACCACAUCCAAGGAAGGCAGCAGGCGCGCAAAUUACCCACUCCCGGCACGGGGAGGUAGUGACGAAAAAUAACGAUACAGGACUCAUCCGAGGCCCUGUAAUCGGAAUGAGCACACUUUAAAUCCUUUAACGAGUACCAAUUGGAGGGUAAGUCUGGUGCCAGCAGCCGCGGUAAUUCCAGCUCCAAUAGCGUAUAUUAAAGUUGUUGCGGUUAAAAAGCUCGUAGUUUGAUGUGUGUCCCGCGCUGUCGGUUCACCGCCCGUCGGUGUUUAACUGGCACGUCUCGCGGGACGUCCUGCCGGUGGUGGCGAGCCGAAGGCGCAGGCCGCGCGCUCUGACGACGCCCCGCGCCGCUCCGGCGGCGCGGCGGCGGCUCGCGGGGCGCGCGCGCCUCGCCGGAGGCGGACCCCGACUGAAUCCCUCCGCGGUGCUCUUCACCGAGUGUCGAGGUGGGCCGGCACGUUUACUUUGAACAAAUUAGAGUGCUUCAAGCAGGCCCCGUACCGCCUGAAUACUGUGUGCAUGGAAUAAUGGAAUAAGACCUCGCUUCUAUUUUGUUGGUUUUCGGAAGCCGAGGUAAUGGUUAACAGGAACAGGCGGGGGCAUUCGUAUUGCGACGUUAGAGGUGAAAUUCUUGGAUCGUCGCAAGACGGACCGAAGCGAAAGCGUUUGCCAAGUAUGUUUUCAUUAAUCAAGAACGAAAGUUAGAGGUUCGAAGGCGAUCAGAUACCGCCCUAGUUCUAACCAUAAACGAUGCCAGCUAGCGAUCCGCCGAAGUUCCUCCGAUGACUCGGCGGGCAGCCCCCGGGAAACCAAAGCUUUUGGGUUCCGGGGGAAGUAUGGUUGCAAAGCUGAAACUUAAAGGAAUUGACGGAAGGGCACCACCAGGAGUGGAGCCUGCGGCUUAAUUUGACUCAACACGGGAAACCUCACCAGGCCCGGACACCGGAAGGAUUGACAGAUUGAGAGCUCUUUCUUGAUUCGGUGGGUGGUGGUGCAUGGCCGUUCUUAGUUGGUGGAGCGAUUUGUCUGGUUAAUUCCGGUAACGAACGAGACUCUUACCUGCUAACUAGUCGUUUCCGGCAUCCUUCCGUGCUGCCGGCGGAAACCCUUCUUCUUAGAGGGACAAGCGGCUACUAGCCGCGCGAAACUGAGCAAUAACAGGUCUGUGAUGCCCUUAGAUGUUCUGGGCCGCACGCGCGCUACACUGAAGGAAUCAGCGUGUCCUCCUAGCCCGAAAGGGCCGGGCAACCCGUUGAACCUCCUUCGUGCUAGGGAUUGGGGCUUGCAAUUGUUUCCCAUGAACGAGGAAUUCCCAGUAAGCGCGAGUCAUAAGCUCGCGUUGAUUACGUCCCUGCCCUUUGUACACACCGCCCGUCGCUACUACCGAUUGAAUGAUUUAGUGAGGUCUUCGGACCGGUGCGCGGCCUCCGCCUCGCGCGGUGGCCGAUGCUACUGGGAAGAUGCCCAAACUUGAUUAUUUAGAGGAAGUAAAAGUCGUAACAAGGUUACCGUAGGUGAACCUGCGGAAA